GAUGAACGCUGGCGGCGUGCCUAAUACAUGCAAGUCGAGCGAACGGACGAGAAGCUUGCUUCUCUGAUGUUAGCGGCGGACGGGUGAGUAACACGUGGAUAACCUACCUAUAAGACUGGGAUAACCUCGGGAAACCGGAGCUAAUACCGGAUGAUAUUUUGAACCGCAUGGUUCAAAAGUGAAAGACGGUCUUGCUGUCACUUAUAGAUGGAUCCGCGCUGCAUUAGCUAGUUGGUAAGGUAACGGCUUACCAAGGCAACGAUGCAUAGCCGACCUGAGAGGGUGAUCGGCCACACUGGAACUGAGACACGGUCCAGACUCCUACGGGAGGCAGCAGUAGGGAAUCUUUCGCAAUGGGCGAAAGCCUGACGGAGCAACGCCGCGUGAGUGAUGAAGGUCUUCGGAUCGUAAAACUCUGUUAUUAGGGAAGAACAUAUGUGUAAGUAACUGUGCACAUCUUGACGGUACCUAAUCAGAAAGCCACGGCUAACUACGUG
This 497-nucleotide ribosomal RNA is filed under the name uncultured bacterium. RNAcentral describes it as "partial 16S ribosomal RNA". It matches the Rfam family "Bacterial small subunit ribosomal RNA", at positions 28 to 507 of the family's 1533-position model. The record is from RNAcentral.